Molecule: transfer RNA, 66 nt
Filed under: Reithrodontomys fulvescens (fulvous harvest mouse)
Lineage: Eukaryota; Metazoa; Chordata; Mammalia; Rodentia; Cricetidae
Description: tRNA-Arg
Source: RNAcentral
GGUAAUUAGUUAAUCAAAACAAAUGAUUUCGACUCAUUAAAUUAUGAUCUUUAUUCAUAAUUACCA